Molecule: ribosomal RNA, 197 nt
Filed under: uncultured bacterium
Lineage: Bacteria
Description: partial 16S ribosomal RNA
Rfam family: Bacterial small subunit ribosomal RNA
Source: RNAcentral
ACUCCUACGGGAGGCAGCAGUGGGGAAUUUUGGACAAUGGGCGCAAGCCUGAUCCAGCAAUGCCGCGUGCGGGAAGAAGGCCUUCGGGUUGUAAACCGCUUUUGGCAGGAACGAAACGGUGUCCGCUAAUACCGGGCGCCAAUGACGGUACCUGCAGAAUAAGCACCGGCUAACUACGUGCCAGCAGCCGCGGUAAU